UACGGAGGGUGCAAGCGUUAUCCGGAUUCACUGGGUUUAAAGGGUGCGUAGGUGGGUUGGUAAGUCAGUGGUGAAAUCUCCGAGCUUAACUUGGAAACUGCCAUUGAUACUAUCAGUCUUGAAUAUUGUGGAGGUCAGCGGACUAUGUCAUGUAGCGGUGAAAUGCUUAGAUAUGACAUAGAACACCAAUUGCGAAGGCAGCUGGCUACACAUAUAUUGACACUGAGGCACGAAAGCGUGGGGAUCAAACAGG
Molecule: ribosomal RNA, 253 nt
Filed under: uncultured bacterium
Lineage: Bacteria
Description: partial 16S ribosomal RNA
Rfam family: Bacterial small subunit ribosomal RNA
Source: RNAcentral